AGGGUAACGGCUCACCAAGACUAUGAUGUCUAGGGGUUCUGAGAGGGAUGAUCCCCCACACUGGGUACUGAGACACGGACCAGACUCCUACGGGAGGGCAGCAGUGAGGAAUAUUGGGUCAAUGGGGCGCAAGCCUGAACCAGCCAUCCCGCGUGAAGGAUGAAGGCCCUAUGGGGUCGUAAACUUCUUUUAUACACCAAGAAAAAGCAGGACGUGUCCUGCCCCGACGGUAGUGUAUGAAUAAGCAUCGGCUAACUCCGUGCCAGCAGCCGCGGUAAUACGGAGGAUGCAAGCGUUAUCCGGAUUCAUUGGGUUUAAAGGGUGCGUAGGCGGCUUUUUAAGUCAGUGGUGAAAUCCUGUCGCUUAACGAUAGAAUUGCCAUUGAUACUGAAGAGCUCGAGUACAAUUGAGGUAAGCGGAAUGUGUAGUGUAGCGGUGAAAUGCUUAGAUAUUACACAGAACACCGAUUGCGAAGGCAGCUUACUAAACUGUUACUGACGCUGAUGCACGAAAGCGUGGGGAGCGAACAGG
This 531-nucleotide ribosomal RNA is filed under the name uncultured bacterium. RNAcentral's name for it is "bacterial SSU rRNA". It matches the Rfam family "Bacterial small subunit ribosomal RNA", at positions 254 to 776 of the family's 1533-position model. The record is from RNAcentral.